CCUACGGGUGGCAGCAGUGGGGAAUAUUGCACAAUGGGGGAAACCCUGAUGCAGCGACGCCGCGUGAGUGAAGAAGUAUUUCGGUACGUAAAGCUCUAUCAGCAGGGAAGAAAAAAAGUCCUUUGGACUUUGGACGGUACCUGACCAAGAAGCCCCGGCUAACUACGUGCCAGCAGCCGCGGUAAUACGUAGGGGGCAAGCGUUAUCCGGAUUUACUGGGUGGAAAGGGAGCGUAGACGGCAGUGCAAGUCUGGAGUGAAAGGCCGGGGCCCAACCCCGGAACUGCUUUGGAAACUGGGCAGCUGGAGUGCAUGAGAGGUAGGCGGAAUUCCUGGUGUAGCGGUGAAAUGCGUAGAUAUUAGGAGGAACACCAGUGGCGAAGGCGGCUUACUGGACUGUAACUGACGUUGAGGCACGAAAGCGUGGGGAGCAAACAGGAUUAGAUACCCUAGUAGUC
RNAcentral lists this ribosomal RNA (457 nucleotides) under uncultured bacterium. RNAcentral describes it as "partial 16S ribosomal RNA". It matches the Rfam family "Bacterial small subunit ribosomal RNA", at positions 338 to 795 of the family's 1533-position model. The record is from RNAcentral.